GAUGAUCCCAAAUUUUUACUUGUGGAUAUGGUCAAGUUGAAGGAAAAAAGAUAGGAAUGUAUAAGCAACCAUCAAAUAUCAUUAGGCAUAGGCAAUCUCCAAGGGUUUUAGCUCUUUUCAUUUCGUUACCAGCCAUUUCCACUAAAAAUCAUCAUGUUAAGGUUCAAGACAAUUAUAUUUGGAUACGUUCCGUGAAUGCCAGUAGCAAGAGACAUUGAAUCAUUGAUAAUCCUUUUAUUGUUACUUGAUAGUUUCAGAACAUCUGUUAGUUUACUCUACAAAAUUAAUUUUAAGCUCCCGUGAAGGUUGGAACAACAAGGAAGAUGGUAGUAGUGGAAAAUGGAAAGAGGUGGGGAGAAGUCAAUCUUUCUAUCUUAGAAAAUUUGGUCCAUCUGCGCCAUAAGUUUGCUUAGUUACUUGGCUAUUCAAACUAUGCUGUUGAUCUUAGAAUGGCAAAGACGCCCGCAAAGGUUUGUCUGAUCUUGCCUUAUUGUUAAGAUAAUAUGUGCAGUGGUAACUUGGUGAAGUGAGACGAAGACAAAAGAAAAUUAUUCACGAUGCAUUUGUUUUGUUCUUCUUUCUAAAUUUUGUUGAGGAUGGGUUGGUCAACUGGGGAUAUCUUAACCCAUUCUUCAGGAUUGAUGUGCAUUAUUUUUGAAGCACUACACUAAGAAUGUAAAGGAUAAGAAAUCAACUGUGUAAGUGGCCUGUUUCCGGUGAACCUCGAAUCUGUUCACUUCUUUUCCACUAAGCAGAAGUCUAGAGAGAUGUAUAUUCUAAAAAUCCCCUGUUUGGUCGGUCCCUCCCUGAAUUGGGAGGUGCAGGCGUAAUCCAUCAUGAGUGAUUCAUCAUCAAGGGGGUUUACUUAUUUCCCUUCUGAAAGUGCAUAGAUCAUUGGGAUCAUUCGGUUGUUGGUGCAUGUCAUUUAGCUUUUCAGAUUCUCAAGGGACCUCAGGCCUUAGUUGACUGACAAUGGCUAAUUAAGGAAGCUUGAGUAAAUUCUGCUGGGAUUAUUGGCUGUUCUGCUUCGUGAUCUUUAUGAUAUGCAGUGGAAACAACAUCAGUAUCGAGGGGACUGGUGUGGGGACCAUUAUUUGCAUGUUAAAGGGUUACGAAAGGCUAGAGAGGUGAGAUCCCAGCUGCUAGAGAUCUUGAAGACACUGAAAAUCCCACUGACGACUUGUUGGCCUGACACUGAUGUUGUUAGAAAAGCUAUCUGCUCUGCAUACUUCCACAAUUCUGCUAGAUUGAAGGGUGUGGGGGGGUAUGUUAAUUCCAGAACUGGGAUGCCAUGCCAUCUACAUCCGAGCAGUGCUUUCUAUGGUAUGGGAUGCACUCCAGACUAUGUUGUUUAUCAUGAACUGAUUUUG
Molecule: long non-coding RNA, 1370 nt
Organism: Rosa chinensis
Lineage: Eukaryota; Viridiplantae; Streptophyta; Magnoliopsida; Rosales; Rosaceae
Exons: 3
Source: RefSeq, a predicted model, not a curated record